AAAAAUUAAUGGGGAUAAAGAGGUGAGUUGAAUGGGGAUAAAGAGGUGAGAUGAAUAGGAGUAACGGUCAUGACAACGGUCAACAACAUUCACGAGAAAGCAAGUUGUCACGCUCGUGACAGCAUGCGUGUUUAAUUAUUAUUAUUUAUUUAUUUUGGUUUUAUUUAUUAUAUUUAUUAUUUUUAUUAUUUUGUUUUUUUUUGUGUCAUGGAUGCUACUUUACUACACUAUAGAAUAUAUUUU
Molecule: long non-coding RNA, 243 nt
Filed under: Lathyrus oleraceus (garden pea)
Lineage: Eukaryota; Viridiplantae; Streptophyta; Magnoliopsida; Fabales; Fabaceae
Description: Pisum sativum (pea) long non-coding RNA (PSAT_LNC030356)
Source: RNAcentral